CCUACGGGAGGCAGCAGUGGGGAAUAUUGGACAAUGGGCGAAAGCCUGAUCCAGCAAUGCCGCGUGAGUGAAGAAGGCCUUCGGGUUGUAAAGCUCUUUUACCCGGGAAGAUAAUGACCGUACCGGGAGAAUAAGCCCCGGCUAACUCCGUGCCAGCAGCCGCGGUAAUACGGAGGGGGCUAGCGUUGUUCGGAAUCACUGGGCGUAAAGCGUGCGUAGGCGGCCAUUCAAGUCAGAGGUGAAAGCCCAGGGCUCAACCCUGGAACUGCCUUUGAAACUAGGUGGCUGGAACACGGGAGAGGUGAGUGGAAUUCCGAGUGUAGAGGUGAAAUUCGUAGAUAUUCGGAAGAACACCAGUGGCGAAGGCGGCUCACUGGACCGUUGUUGACGCUGAGGCACGAAAGCGUGGGGAGCAAACAGGAUUAGAUACCCUGGUAGUCCACGCCGUAAACGAUGAUAACUAGCUGUUGGGGCUCUUUGAGCUCCACGUGGCGCAGCUACGCAUUAAGUUAUCCGUCCGUCGGGUAGGUACGGCCGCGAACGGUUAAACGUAACAAUAGUAAGUUAGUACGGCGUGAGACGUGCCGACGACGACGACGAGGGAGGUAGG
Molecule: ribosomal RNA, 610 nt
Filed under: uncultured bacterium
Lineage: Bacteria
Description: bacterial SSU rRNA
Rfam family: Bacterial small subunit ribosomal RNA (bases 1-518)
Source: RNAcentral